UUAAACUUGAGAGUUUGAUCCUGGCUCAGAACGAACGCUGGCGGCAGGCUUAACACAUGCAAGUCGAACGCGUGUAGCAAUACACGAGUGGCGCACGGGUGAGUAACGCGUGGAUAU
This 117-nucleotide ribosomal RNA is filed under the name Reyranella sp. RNAcentral's name for it is "partial 16S ribosomal RNA". It matches the Rfam family "Bacterial small subunit ribosomal RNA", at positions 1 to 124 of the family's 1533-position model. The record is from RNAcentral. Lineage: Bacteria; Pseudomonadati; Pseudomonadota; Alphaproteobacteria; Hyphomicrobiales; Reyranellaceae.